UGAGCCAAGGGGAUUGUGGGAUUGA
This 25-nucleotide non-coding RNA is filed under the name Mus musculus (house mouse). The record is from RNAcentral. Lineage: Eukaryota; Metazoa; Chordata; Mammalia; Rodentia; Muridae.